RNAcentral lists this ribosomal RNA (468 nucleotides) under uncultured bacterium. RNAcentral describes it as "partial 16S ribosomal RNA". It matches the Rfam family "Bacterial small subunit ribosomal RNA", at positions 28 to 507 of the family's 1533-position model. The record is from RNAcentral.
GACGAACGCUGGCGGCGUGCUUAACACAUGCAAGUCGAACGGAAAGGCCCUGCCUUUGUGGGGUGCUCGAGUGGCGAACGGGUGAGUAACACGUGAGUAACCUGCCCUUGACUGUGGGAUAACUUCAGGAAACUGGGGCUAAUACCGGAUAGGAGCAGCUGCUGCAUGGCGGGGGUUGGAAAGUUUCGGCGGUUGGGGAUGGACUUGGGGCUUAUCAGCUUGUUGGUGGGGUAGUGGCUUACCAAGGCUUUGGCGGGUAGCCGGCCUGGGAGGGUGACCGGCCCCAGUGGGACUGAGGAGCGGCCCGUAGGCCUACGGGAGCCAUCAGUGGGGGUUAUUGCGCGAUGGGCCGAGGCCUGAUGCAGCAUCGCCGCGUGCUGGAGGACGGCCUUCGGGGUGUAAACCGCUUUCGCCUGUGACGAAGCGUGUGUGACGGUAAUGGGUAAAGAAGCACCGGCUAACUACGUG